UCCCUUGCCUGCAACCCCCCCAUACACACCCCAGUGUUCCUCGCGCCCGCCUGCGCCCUGUUCUGAAGCUAAGCUAGUAGUAGCUACCUAGCUACAGAAGCUAAUCACCUCGAGACUGACGGCGGAGUAGUGACAAGAAGAUGGCGGAGUGAGUGGGUUGCGCUUUGAAGGAAAGCAGCGACCCUUGAUUACCGUAAUAUAUUAUACAGAGGAAAAUACAUCGACAUUUUAAAAUACAGCGGAAAUUUGACGAACGAAGAAUAUUGCCCCUCUCGCGGAGGUGGUUCAAGUAGAUUAUCGAACUGGGCUUCGCCGUUCCGCUGGUGUCCUUUCGAUAGCUCGACGCUAGCGGGCUGCUGUAGCUAGCGCGUUAGCUACCCAAGGCACACUGGGCGACGCACAAACAAGACACUUAUUGGGAGUGUUUUCAGAAGAAUUCUGUUGCCCUAUUCGUGAAAUGAGUUGAUUUUAUUUUUCAAGAUUUAUCAGGAUUUUUUUAUUAGCUAACUAGCGAAUAGCAAAAACAAACAAAUUCUGUUGGCUAGUUAGCUAACGUUAGAUUGUUUCAAGUAGCGUACAUCGCCCACGACCACAACGGAGGACUGUAUGUUCUGAUAACGAACUGGCCGAAUAGGGGAAUUGACGGAGCAAUCCCAUAUAAUCCUAUUUUAAAUUGAUCGGGGUUGCUCGUGAUUUCGAGGAUAUGGCAAGCAGUAGCGGCUCUAAAGCCGAAUUCAUUGUCGGUGGAAAAUACAAGCUUGUCAGAAAAAUUGGAUCUGGAUCAUUUGGUGAUAUAUACUUGGCAAUCAACAUUACAAAUGGAGAGGAGGUAGCUGUAAAAUUGGAAUCUCAGAAAGCCAGACAUCCUCAACUGUUAUAUGAAAGUAAGCUGUACAAAAUCUUACAGGGAGGAGUUGGAAUCCCGCACAUAAGGUGGUAUGGCCAAGAAAAGGACUACAAUGUCCUAGUGAUGGACCUUCUGGGACCCAGUCUGGAAGACCUUUUCAAUUUCUGUUCGCGCAGGUUCACGAUGAAAACUGUACUAAUGCUUGCGGACCAGAUGAUCAGCAGAAUCGAAUAUGUGCAUACAAAGAACUUCAUUCACAGAGAUAUCAAGCCAGACAACUUUUUAAUGGGAAUUGGCCGUCACUGUAACAAGUGUUUAGAAUCUCCAGUGGGGAAGAGGAAAAGAAGCUUGGCUGUUAGUUCUUCUCAGGACCCAUCUUUCUCAGGAUUAAACCAGUUGUUCCUCAUCGACUUUGGUCUGGCCAAAAAAUACCGGGACAACAGGACACGACAGCACAUACCCUACAGAGAAGACAAAAAUCUCACAGGCACAGCUCGCUAUGCCAGCAUCAAUGCACACCUGGGUAUCGAGCAGAGUCGCCGAGAUGACAUGGAGUCGCUAGGAUACGUCCUGAUGUACUUCAACAGAACCAGCCUGCCCUGGCAGGGACUAAAGGCUGCCACAAAGAAACAGAAGUACGAGAAGAUUAGCGAGAAGAAGAUGUCCACUCCAGUUGAGGUGUUGUGUAAGGGUUUCCCGGCAGAGUUUGCCAUGUACCUGAACUACUGCCGUGGGCUGCGGUUUGAGGAGGCGCCGGACUACAUGUACCUGCGUCAGCUGUUCCGCAUUCUCUUCAGGACUCUGAACCACCAGUAUGACUACACGUUUGACUGGACCAUGCUGAAGCAGAAAGCAGCCCAGCAGGCCGCAUCCUCAGGGGGACAGGGGCAACAGGCACAAACCCCCACAGGCAAGCAAACUGACAAACCCAAGAGUAACAUGAAAGUCUCCCCCCUCCCUCUCGUAGAGGGUAUCCCGGGUGCCCAGGGUUGAUGGCGGAGGAGUCAACCCAAUUUUUCAAAAAACCUGAAGAAGUUUUCAUCAGGUUUCUGAGCAGUAAGACAAUGAAAUGAAGCAGAGCAGAAUGGCCGUUGCAGGAUUUGCCUUCCAAUCACACCCCGGCAUCCAGGAUCAAGUUCACCAGAACCUGCCAGGCAUUGUGGGCAACCCUCUUUUCCUGUUAAAGAACUUUCGUUCCAUAUAUUAUAUAUGUAAUCGCUCUAUAUAGAUACCAUGCUCUGCAUAUAUCUAUAUAUUGUUAUGUAUAUACUAUAUCCACACAGAAAGCAGGCUUGAUAUGGAAUCUUUCAAAGCUGUAGCCUUCUCUAUUGUCCUGUCCCUGAAGAUUUUUUUUUUUUUUUCUUCAAAACUGAAAACUAAGAAAUGGUGGGCUCACUGAGGAUGUAAUUGUGCACAUGCCAAUACUUUCCCCUUGACACCUUUUCCCUCUGAGCGGCUGCUUGGGUGCCUGCCUCACCUCAUAGUCGCCUGUCAGAGCAGCAGUUUCUCCCUUUCCCUCAGUCACAGAGUGGCAUGAUGACACAACAGUCAGAUUGAACAUUUGAAACAACCAUUUUCCUCUUCCUUACCCCCCCCCCCCCUUCAUUCUCGAGCAAAAUGAAAGGUGUAAACUGAAACUGUUUCCUUUGUCAUGAACGAAUCCUGGGUAUUUACUAAGCAUACAUUGGAUUUAUUUUUGUUUUUCAUAAAGGUAAUUAAGAUUCUGCCUGCUGAUAUGUGCUAGAAGAGCUUCUAAUGUGAAGAUGAAAACAAUUCUAGUGACUACUAGGUUUCUCUUUAGAACGCUGCGUUAACUACAUUGUACUUGGUAUUCUGAAAUUUCAACCAAUAAACAAGAUGAACUCCACAAAAGCAUAUUCAUUAUAAAUUAGGCACCUCUUGAAUAAACCUGUUUGUAAAUUGCUUAAAAGAAAAUGAUGCAUCAAUUAACCUUUUUUUUUUUUUGGAGAUGUUAAUGUCUAUGGACAAAUGUAACCUUUUUUUGAGAUUCAUUUAAUUCCUACUAUGGGUGGCCUCGAUGUUCGUUUAUGAGACAAACAUGCUCACUCCAUCCACCCUUUCCGUUAUCAUUUUUAUAUUCAUAUAUACACUUUUUUUUUUUUUUAUCAGAACUUUCUCUCCGUUUUAUAGAUUUGUCUUUCCCUGUAUUGAAUUGAUCAUUUUGGGGGAAGGGUGUUUUUGUUGCUUCCUCCUGUGGUGAAGCAGAUCCUCUUGUAAAAUACUCUGGGACUUUCUCUCUGCAACUAAAUUUCGCUGCUACUUAGAGUAGCAACCGUUUCCUUAUUUUUGUUCCUUUUUUUAUUGCGAAGAAAGUUUUGGAGGGUUUGUUUUCUAUAUACUUUGAGUCUUGUAAGGCAAGAAUAAUUUGGAUUUAUCUCAGCCUUUAGUCACAACAGAUGCACACCAGUAACUUGGCUGUUUGUCUCCCUCCUUAUUAUCCUCCUGACCCAGCUUUAGCUAUUUUACAGCUGGACAUUCUAUAAAAGUGUAAUUUAUUCCCUUUUAGCAUGUCAGAAUAAAUUAAAUGACUUGUCAGAACCACUGUCCCAGUGUCUGUAAUUUAAAGGAAUCAGACUGCCUUAGGCCUGGAUAAUGUUAUGGCUGUAAACUUUUAUUUUUGUUUUAUUUUUCAUUUGCUUGUCUUUACACAUUACCUGUAAACUACCACACAACCCAAGUAUUGUGAGCAUUUGGAAAACGUGAUACAUUGACGGAAUUGGGGAUGGAUGAGAUACCUUGGUCAAUAUGUCGGAGGCAACUAAUUUGUCCAACAGUAUGAUUGCUUCAGACAAAGGGAACAAUUGUGGAAAUGGUCUAAAAGGUUAUUGCUGUAAUUUAGACCAAAGCAGUCCCAGUGAAAUGAUAUUGUUGGGGUGGUGGUUAGACGUAGGUGCUUGUGGUGGUGUUUUGAAAAAAAAUCUUCCAGGAUUUAUAUCUGUAAAUAUUAAAAUGGCUUCAAAUGGC
This is an RNA transcript of Esox lucius (northern pike), 3832 nucleotides long. It is a transcript of the gene named casein kinase 1, alpha 1, with no coding region annotated. The transcript is spliced from 12 exons. The record is from RefSeq and is a predicted model, not a curated record. Lineage: Eukaryota; Metazoa; Chordata; Actinopteri; Esociformes; Esocidae.